Molecule: ribosomal RNA, 509 nt
Filed under: uncultured Pseudomonadota bacterium
Lineage: Bacteria; Pseudomonadati; Pseudomonadota
Description: bacterial SSU rRNA
Rfam family: Bacterial small subunit ribosomal RNA
Source: RNAcentral
UAGCCGCGUGCAGGAUGAAGGCCUUCGGGUUGUAAACUGCUUUUGUACGGAACGAAACGGCCGCCUCUAAUAAAGGUGGCUAAUGACGGUACCGUAAGAAUAAGCACCGGCUAACUACGUGCCAGCAGCCGCGGUAAUACGUAGGGUGCGAGCGUUAAUCGGAAUUACUGGGCGUAAAGCGUGCGCAGGCGGUUAUAUAAGACAGAUGUGAAAUCCCCGGGCUCAACCUGGGACCUGCAUUUGUGACUGUAUAGCUAGAGUACGGUAGAGGGGGAUGGAAUUCCGCGUGUAGCAGUGAAAUGCGUAGAUAUGCGGAGGAACACCGAUGGCGAAGGCAAUCCCCUGGACCUGUACUGACGCUCAUGCACGAAAGCGUGGGGAGCAAACAGGAUUAGAUACCCUGGUAGUCCACGCCCUAAACGAUGUCAACUGGUUGUUGGGUCUUCACUGACUCAGUAACGAAGCUAACGCGUGAAGUUGACCGCCUGGGGAGUACGGCCGCAAGGUUG